Empidonax traillii (willow flycatcher) is the source of this 310-nucleotide long non-coding RNA. RefSeq lists it as uncharacterized. NCBI's taxonomy places the organism in Eukaryota, Metazoa, Chordata, Aves, Passeriformes, Tyrannidae. The record is from RefSeq and is a predicted model, not a curated record. The transcript has 3 exons.
ACCACGCUAAAAAUGCACAUUUUUUUCCUUUAUAGAGGAUGCCACUAGUUUCCUGAAGUUAAUAAGGAUAUCAAAUUAAAGAUCUGAUGAGAACAUGCAAUUUUAAUACUGCUUUAAGAACAGAGAAUUGGGAAGAGCUCAUCUUUUAGUGCCCUCACCUGCUAUCAGACAUGUACAGCAGCCCCAAACAAGCGAGCUCCACAGGUUGUUUGGAGAGGAAGUGUCUCACUCUGGAGCUGCACAGAUGGAACGGUGCUGCUUCCACAGGGAUGUGCUACUCAAAUUUCAAAGGAACAGCAUGGCAAACAUC